Dioscorea cayenensis subsp. rotundata (Guinea yam) is the source of this 548-nucleotide long non-coding RNA. RefSeq lists it as uncharacterized. The record is from RefSeq and is a predicted model, not a curated record. Lineage: Eukaryota; Viridiplantae; Streptophyta; Magnoliopsida; Dioscoreales; Dioscoreaceae. The transcript is spliced from 2 exons.
AUGACAUAUCACUGCAACUUGUAAACCUUUAAAGCCUGCCACCUGAACUGCCUCUCCCUGUUUGUAUUACAUUAUGUAUUUUUGCCCCUUGUUUCCUUUCUUUCCCUCCCUGUUUUGCUUUUGCCCACAGCUUUCUCCUUUUGCCCUUUCUAUGUGCACCUCCUGAAUUCCUCCUUCAGUAUCUCUAUAUUAUAUAUAUAAUAAUAAUAAUAACAGUAGAAGUCCUUCAUCAGAGAAAGAGUGCUUUGUAAUGGAGAAGAUGAUGAUGGAGAUGAAGGAUGGAUGGUUGGGAAAAAUAAGCAGGAAUAUGUAUGCUGUUCUCUGUCUUGGUAUUGUCCUCUUUGCAGUAGCUUAUGUCUAUUAUGCUUUUCCAGAGAAACAACCCAUAAAUGGUGAUAACAAGGAGAGAUCUAAAGAGAAGACUUACUGCCUUACAAUCCUCUCCUCUUAGAUAAAUUCUUUUCUUUUUUUCUAUGUAUAAAAAAAAUAAACUUUAGUUCUCUAAUUACAACUUACAAUGAACACUGUUUUCUUGUUGUUUCUUGUUA